This 481-nucleotide ribosomal RNA is filed under the name uncultured bacterium. RNAcentral's name for it is "partial 16S ribosomal RNA". It matches the Rfam family "Bacterial small subunit ribosomal RNA", at positions 28 to 507 of the family's 1533-position model. The record is from RNAcentral.
GACGAACGUUGGCGGCGUGCUUAAUACAUGCAAGUCAACUGAAGCAGUGGUAGCAAUAUCGCUGUGGAGGUGGCGCACGGGUGAGUGACACGUAGGUAAUCUGCCUUCAGGUCUGGCAUAACUCCGGGAAACCGGGGCUAAUAGCAGAUGAUGCAGCGGCUCGACAUCGAGACAGUUGUUAAAGCUAUGGCGCCUGAAGAUGAGCCUGCGUCUGAUUAGCUAGUUGGCGGGGUAACGGCCCACCAAGGCAACGAUCAGUAGCUGGUCUGAGAGGAUGAUCAGCCACACUGGAACUGAGACACGGUCCAGACUCCUACGGGAGGCAGCAGUAAGGAAUAUUGCUCAAUGGGAGAAAUCCUGAAGCAGCAACGCCGCGUGAGGGACGAAGGGCUUUUGCUUGUAAACCUCUGUAGUGAGAGAAAAAAAUCCCAAUCUUUGGGACAUGAUGGUAUCUCAAAAGUAAGCCCCGGCUAACUACGUG